RNAcentral lists this ribosomal RNA (991 nucleotides) under Hongkongmyces brunneosporus. RNAcentral describes it as "SSU rRNA". It matches the Rfam family "Eukaryotic small subunit ribosomal RNA", at positions 88 to 1087 of the family's 1831-position model. The record is from RNAcentral. Lineage: Eukaryota; Fungi; Ascomycota; Dothideomycetes; Pleosporales; Lindgomycetaceae.
UGCGAAUGGCUCAUUAAAUCAGUUAUCGUUUAUUUGAUAGUACCUUACUACUUGGAUAACCGUGGUAAUUCUAGAGCUAAUACAUGCUAAAAACCCCAACUUCGGGAGGGGUGUAUUUAUUAGAUAAAAAACCAAUGCCCUUCGGGGCUCUUUGGUGAUUCAUGAUAACUUAACGGAUCGCAUGGCCUUGCGCCGGCGACGGUUCAUUCAAAUUUCUGCCCUAUCAACUUUCGAUGGUAAGGUAUUGGCUUACCAUGGUUUCAACGGGUAACGGGGAAUUAGGGUUCGAUUCCGGAGAGGGAGCCUGAGAAACGGCUACCACAUCCAAGGAAGGCAGCAGGCGCGCAAAUUACCCAAUCCCGACACGGGGAGGUAGUGACAAUAAAUACUGAUACAGGGCUCUUUUGGGUCUUGUAAUUGGAAUGAGUACAAUUUAAACCCCUUAACGAGGAACAAUUGGAGGGCAAGUCUGGUGCCAGCAGCCGCGGUAAUUCCAGCUCCAAUAGCGUAUAUUAAAGUUGUUGCAGUUAAAAAGCUCGUAGUUGAAACUUGGGCCUGGCUGGCCGGUCCGCCUCACCGCGUGUACUGGUCCGGCCGGGCCUUUCCUUCUGGAGAGCCUCAUGCCCUUCACUGGGUGUGUUGGGGAACCAGGACUUUUACUUUGAAAAAAUUAGAGUGUUCAAAGCAGGCCUUUGCUCGAAUACGUUAGCAUGGAAUAAUAGAAUAGGACGUGCGAUCCUAUUUUGUUGGUUUCUAGGACCGCCGUAAUGAUUAAUAGGGAUAGUCGGGGGCAUCAGUAUUCAAUUGUCAGAGGUGAAAUUCUUGGAUUUAUUGAAGACUAACUACUGCGAAAGCAUUUGCCAAGGAUGUUUUCAUUAAUCAGUGAACGAAAGUUAGGGGAUCGAAGACGAUCAGAUACCGUCGUAGUCUUAACCGUAAACUAUGCCGACUAGGGAUCGGGCGAUGUUAUUAUUUUGACUCGCUCGGCACC